GCCUGGCACACAGUAGGUGCUCAGUUAGUGACAGCUGUUGAUUAUCACCAUGAUGAUCAUCAACAAAUAUUUAUUGAGUGCCUAUUACAUG
RNAcentral lists this microRNA precursor (91 nucleotides) under Dasypus novemcinctus (nine-banded armadillo). Its description in RNAcentral is "miRNA (ENSDNOG00000042652.1)". The record is from RNAcentral. Lineage: Eukaryota; Metazoa; Chordata; Mammalia; Cingulata; Dasypodidae.